This 126-nucleotide microRNA precursor is filed under the name Myotis brandtii (Brandt's bat). RNAcentral describes it as "mir-9193 microRNA precursor family". Lineage: Eukaryota; Metazoa; Chordata; Mammalia; Chiroptera; Vespertilionidae. The record is from Rfam by way of RNAcentral.
UGUGCACCAGAGGGGUCCCUCAGCCUGGCCUGCACCCUCUCGCAAUUCGGGACCCCUCGUAGGAUGUCCGAGAGCUGUUUUUGGCCCGAUCCUGUGGGCCAGGCUGAGGGACCCCACUGGUGCACA